Molecule: long non-coding RNA, 3298 nt
Organism: Taeniopygia guttata (zebra finch)
Lineage: Eukaryota; Metazoa; Chordata; Aves; Passeriformes; Estrildidae
Source: Ensembl
GCCGGGGCCGGCCGCGCUGCUCCUGGUGCUCCUGAUGAGCUGCAUCAGCUCAUCCCAGCCCACCACCACGGAUGGAGAGCCAUGAGGUGCCCGGAAAGAGGCGGCCUGAGCCCCAGAUGCUCCGGCUGGAGGUCGCCACCAGUGUCGGGCGCGGUGGCCGCAGGCAGCGGGGUCACCUCGGCCUGUGGGCACCGCCGGGCUGCGCGCACGGAGGCUGAGGGAGAGCGGAGCGUGGUGCUGCAGCGUCGGAAUCUGAGGAAAUAAAAGACAGUUUUUCUCCAAGGAAGAUGAAGGGAAGAAGCAGAGCAGGAACGAGCUUUCACCACAGCAACAGGAAGAUGCCAGCUAGCCUAAUGGGGGAUAUUUUGCCCUGUGCUAUAAUAGAAAAACAUAAAAUCUUAAGAUCAUAAUCAUGGAAUGAUUUGGGUUUGAAGGAUCAUCUCGUUCCAACCCCUUACCAUGGGCAGGAACACCUUCCACUAGACCGGGUGCUCCAAGCCCCAUCCAACUGGACUUGGACACUUCCAGAGAUGCAGGAGCAGACACAGCAUCUCUGGGCAACCUGUGCCAGUGCUUCCCCACUCUCAAAGGGAAGAAUUUCUUCCUAAAAUCUAAUCUAACCCUACCCUCUAUCAGUGUGAAGACAAAAAUAUGUGUAAAACAUCACAUGGGACUUACUACAAACACGUUCCAGGAGGAGAAGCUCUCUGAGAUGAUGGGGGCAGGCCCCAGAGGUGGUGGAAGAUGGGAGAUGCAUGUGGUGCUGCAGGGCAAGAGCUGGGACUGAGUAGAUGCAGGACCAGACCAGGUUGGCAUCUUUGCACCAGCCUUGCCACAUCCACCCCAUUCCUGGGAGGCCACAGCGAGCAUUCCUUUCCUGAUGCUCCUGAUGCUCCUCUGCUGGGGCACAGCACAGGACACAGAGGUGUGGGUGGACGACAGCCUUCCCAUCUAUUCAUCUCACUUGUGAGUGAAGGGGCUCUUUUUGGGCUGCAGCCUCUUUGCUACAGCCAGGAUCUGUCAGCAGGACGUGACGUACAGCGCUGUGGGACAGCUCUGCUCCCUGUGCUCCCCUCACACAGCAGGAAUGUCUCUUGUUUUCUCUCCUCCAGACCAUGUCGGAGCUGAGAGCAUCCAGCCGGGACGGCUCAAGGCCCAGGGAAAUCAGGCAGCUGCCCAAAGCAGCCAGGGCCUCCCUGCCUGUGCUGGAGUGCUGCAACACCCCUGGGCUCCUGCCACUGAGGGAGGGCUGGGAAUGAGCAUCCAUCACUUCCUGCACCAGCAGCCACCAGGGCAGCACACAAAGAUCUUCUCCCACUCCCCUUCCUCAUCCUGACUCUCCUCCUGAAGACCACCAGGCAUAGAUUGAGAAGCUCUGAGCUGGAUUUGUCCCUUGCCACACUGAUUAGACUGAAAGGUCUCAUGCCACAUGGUGGAUUUUUGGGGUUUUCUCCCAAGUCCAUGUUCUUCAUCCUCCAUCCAUAGGUCAUUUCUGGAUGUAAAGCAUAGAGUGUGUUUGUGAUGAUCAAGGCUAAAAUCUCUCCCAUAUCACACAGGCUGAGCCCAGGGUUGGACCCUAUUCUUGACUGGGUACAGCUGGGUUAGACAGAGCUUGGCUGAGCUGGUCCAAGACCUUGUCCAGCCCCUGCUUCUGGCUGUGCACAGGAGCAGGCACAGGUGAGGCUUUGUUGGUCCCCUGGGCUCAAGGUGAUACUGGACUGAGCACCUGCAGCUUUGUAGUCACUGGGAUGCUCUUCUUGGUUGCCUCAUCCCUGGGUUUCUGUGGAAAUUCCACUAACAUCACCCAGGACCUGCAGAGGAUGACACUUGCUGGGGUUUAUCCACUGAGGUCUCCACUUUUUCUACAUAGACUAUCUCAAUCCAAAUGACCAAAGCGUUCCCCAAAACUGGAUUUGUUUCCAUAAUUGCCUUCACCUUCUUGCCACCACAUUUCCCCAGCAGGACACAGAUGAUUCUCCCAGCCCUGGGCUGCCCAGCAGAGUCGUCUCUGCCCAGGCCUCAAAACCAAACACUUCUGCUCCAAAUUCCAUUCGAGGUGGUGAUGCCUCCUACAAAGCAGAGUUUUAUCUGCUGAGGACCAGCAUUGGUGCCUGAAGUCUGGAAUGGGUGCAACAUAUUCAUGGAAACAGUCUGUCCCAGCCUGUAUCAAGCCAAAGGUAGAAAACACAGGAGCAUGGCUUUGCCUCAUUUUGUGUUUUUAAAAUCAAAAUAUGUACAAGCAGAAUUGCUUUUACCCACCAGGGAAGCUCUGCAUGACAUCUGUUACCUUCUGUAUACGUGCAAUGCCUGUCUCUCAUCUCCUGCUGGUCACUAAAGAACUUGAGCCUGUUACUCCCACAUGUCCAAAAGGAGAUUCAGCAUUUGCAUCUCAUUGCAGGUGUCACACUUUGUUAACAUCUAAUGUUUCAUGCUUCUCAUGCAAUGGGUGACAAGAUGACUUCAAAUGCUAAUAACAUAAACAAGCACGAUUUAAAAAUGCUAAUAAAACAAAUAAAAAAGGUCCUUUAUGUUCCUCAAAAAAAAAAAUUAUAAUAAUAAUAAUAAUAAUAAUAGUUCUGUUUUAAUGAAAGGUGGAAUCUCUUGCUCCUGAGAGGAAAGAUUGCUAGCUGGAAUAAAGAGUGUUCAGCCCAGCUGUUUCUACUAUGAGGCCGUAUUUUAUUUCCCCUGAAGGUCCUUCAUGUUUCCACAGACAACUGUCCUUGCACAGCCCAAUAAAUUCCAUCACCUCAGCUGGCCAAACAACCACUGUGGUUGGGGGGGGGUCUGACCAGCUUCUAGGAUACCAACCAGCUUUGGGAGCUUCAUUUUUCACCUCCUCUUCUCCCAGUUGUCCUGGCUUGUAAGAUAAGCAUGGAUUCUAUUGCCAUCUGUUGGAGGUUGGGCAGUUUUCUUAUCUCUUCCAAGAACAAUGUCUCCCUCCGGGGAGAUAUCUUCUGUUAAUGGACUAUUAAAUGAUUCACUGCAUGACUGGUAAAGUUACAUCAUCCCAUGGUGAGAUGUUCCACCCAGAGGGGAGGAGCCAAGCAUUCCUACCUGCAUAAAAUCAGCACUUUUUGAGACACUGGCAGCCACUUGGCUGGAUUCCCAGAGGAGGACCAGGCCCAACUACUACCAGACCUUCAGAGAAAACAACACCCUUCUAGAGAUCACCACUUCAGCAGCAUUUCAUCUGCCACUCCAGGAGGAGCAGCCACCAUUUAACUGGACUACUACUAACACCCUGACUCCUCAGGGUGUCAGGUUUCUGACUCCAUCACUAGUUUUGUUUGUACUAAUU